RNAcentral lists this long non-coding RNA (767 nucleotides) under Numida meleagris (helmeted guineafowl). Its description in RNAcentral is "lncRNA (ENSNMEG00000014784.1)". The record is from RNAcentral. Lineage: Eukaryota; Metazoa; Chordata; Aves; Galliformes; Numididae.
AGAUCAUUCUCAUGAAGGAAUCAGCUUUCCACGGAAGGAAAAGGAGAACUUCAAAAAGUCAGUGCCUUUGUUGAACGGGCAAAAGUAUUUGUAAUCCUGGAGAAAGGCCAUGGAGAAACAGAUCAGUGGACAGGUGACAUCAGUCACAGGCGGUGACACGGAGCAGUGGGGGUUACAUGAGUUGGAUGGCUCAUGGAGGGUAGCGCUACACACUUCAUCCUUUGUCCUCUCCAAGAUGGAAUUGAACGCCCUUCCUUAAAAUGGAGAAUUAAUGCAUCGUUUAUAUGGCCAACACUAGGAAUUUUCUUAACUCCAAAGGAUGAAAAUAAUCAGUCAUGCAGACAAGGAAGGAAAACUAUAUGAAUUAAAGAUGGAGCUUACAGGAUUGCUGCAAAAUUUCAGAUACUGUGAUGCUUCUUAAUGAUCUGAUUCCUGAGGACAUAUUUACUGGAGUCCAGUACUCAAUUUACCUGCCAAAAUCUCUGCAGAUAGCAGAGGAAUUUUGCAGAAUUUCAUUGCCCUCUCACAUGUGGCAACACCCAUUCCUGACAAAAAGACAAGCCCUGAAAAUUCCACUUUUGGUAUGUCUUCUCAGUGGACACUACCUUGGACAGUUGGGACUGUGUGAAGUGAAUGUGCUUUCUAAAUGGAGGAGAAGAUGGGGAUGUCAGGCGGCAUGUUUCUUCUGUCUUCUGAAACUACAGCCUGAUUGGAGAAUGAGCAAAUACAUCACAGAAAAUUACUUUUGUGAGUAUUGUGUGCUCUGA